AAAUAGGUGGCUGAGCGGUCAAAAGCGCCUGUUUGGAGAACAGGUAUAUCGUGGGUUCGAAUCCUGCCCUAUCCU
This 75-nucleotide transfer RNA is filed under the name Naegleria gruberi. RNAcentral describes it as "tRNA-Ser". It matches the Rfam family "tRNA". Rfam says of the family: Transfer RNA (tRNA) molecules are approximately 80 nucleotides in length. Their secondary structure includes four short double-helical elements and three loops (D, anti-codon, and T loops). Further hydrogen bonds mediate the characteristic L-shaped molecular structure. tRNAs have two regions of fundamental functional importance: the anti-codon, which is responsible for specific mRNA codon recognition, and the 3' end, to which the tRNAs corresponding amino acid is attached (by aminoacyl-tRNA synthetases). tRNAs cope with the degeneracy of the genetic code in two manners: having more than one tRNA (with a specific anti-codon) for a particular amino acid; and 'wobble' base-pairing, i.e. permitting non-standard base-pairing at the 3rd anti-codon position. Lineage: Eukaryota; Heterolobosea; Eutetramitea; Acrasida; Naegleriidae. The record is from RNAcentral.